AUGCGCUUCGGACCGCCGCCAUGGAUGGCUGUGUCCCGCGCCCGAGCUCCAUUAGCCGCCGUCGUUGCCCGGAACCGAUGCCGCACGACUCGAUCCGCCCGUUCCCGCCGGUUCCCGCCGUCCCCGUCGCUGGGACCCCCUGCCGUCGUCACCUGCAUCUCCAUGGGCGUGCUGCUGUUUUUGUUCUUCAGAAACAAACAACAGCAGCUCACCCGCUCAUCUCGCUCGCGCGUUGACCGAGCGCAGCGCUAG
This 252-nucleotide ribosomal RNA is filed under the name Triticum aestivum (bread wheat). RNAcentral's name for it is "partial small subunit ribosomal RNA". Lineage: Eukaryota; Viridiplantae; Streptophyta; Magnoliopsida; Poales; Poaceae. The record is from RNAcentral.